Molecule: transfer RNA, 72 nt
Organism: Balearica pavonina (black crowned-crane)
Lineage: Eukaryota; Metazoa; Chordata; Aves; Gruiformes; Gruidae
Rfam family: tRNA
About the family: Transfer RNA (tRNA) molecules are approximately 80 nucleotides in length. Their secondary structure includes four short double-helical elements and three loops (D, anti-codon, and T loops).
Source: Rfam
GGUCCCAUGGUGUAAUGGUGAGCACUCUGGGCUCUGAAUCCAGCUACCUGAGUUCAAAUCUCAGUGGGACCU